GGCUGCAUAGCCCAGUGAUUAGAGUGUUGGUCUUGUAAACUAGGGGUUGUAAGUUUGAUCCUCUCUGGGACCU
This 73-nucleotide transfer RNA is filed under the name Bos taurus (domestic cattle). It matches the Rfam family "tRNA". From Rfam's summary of the family: Transfer RNA (tRNA) molecules are approximately 80 nucleotides in length. Lineage: Eukaryota; Metazoa; Chordata; Mammalia; Artiodactyla; Bovidae. The record is from Rfam by way of RNAcentral. RNAcentral also lists the same sequence under 3 other names.